CGGGAAGGGAGUAGAUCGUCCUCGCCAUGCCGGGAGACGACCAGCCGGGCGGCGACGCUAACGACGACGCUACGGAAAAAGGACAGAGAGGACGUCUUGGCGCACGCCGCGCAACACUUUUGAAAGAGUGAUUGAAGACAUUUGAAUGCCAACGGAGGCCGUUAAGAAUUUUGACGGAUGUGCGGGGACGAAGAUGAAGAUUUUGAAGAGGAUGAGCAAAAAGAUACAGGAACAGGAACGUCAGGUGUCAACACUCACACUGCUGCUGCCAGUUUUCCUUGCUGCUUGUCACAUCGUCGGCGUGCUCAUUUUCCUCCGAUGACGACUCAUCUUCGUCUUCGUCAUCAUCCUCCUCAUCCUCAGACGAUACCGUCUCCGGAUCGACUGAGAGGACAAAAUUCAAGUGUCAGCACUUGUUUCCAGCUGUUUGUCCGCUUCUCUCAUGUGACCGUGAUGACCAAUCGUUGCUCAUAAGGCGUCUUCGCUUUCAAAAUGGACACGGCGGCGCGCACAUUGUUCAUGUGUCUGGACAGGAAGUCUCAGUGGGCCAACACCCUACUGACAAAGAAUUCUUAUGAGUACUUUCAAGAAGUUUCUUUGCUAGGCCUGCAAUCUAUCCCUGGAUUGGUCGCCAUACAUUUUCCAGGACACGUGGAGACAAACAAUGGACUGGUCACCUGUCCACGUCAUGUAAAGAACGGACUACCCGCCAAUCCGUGUCAAGCCACAAUGAACCAAACGGAGUGGUCUCACCUGCGGGUGGGCGGUGGUGAGCGGCGGAGGGGCGUGGCCGGGCCACCGGAAGUAGAACCAUGAGCACCAACGGCAGCAGCAGCAGGCGGCCCCACAGCGCCAUCUUGUGUCAAACCAGCGUGCGGUUGUCACUUCCCGUGCCCACAAACUCCAAAUCAAGACAGCAGAUUCACAUUUUCACGAAAUAGAACGAAUACAGGUCCGGCCACGCCCAUAUCAUGCCGAACACCCAAUAGAAAGGCGGUGGGCGGAGACAUCAAGAUGCGAAGGACUGACGCGCACACGCCAAAGUAUGUGCGCGCACCUCACAUUUUUUUUGACUCUCAAGAAUGUUAAACAUUCGCUGCGUGGAUGACGUCACGCCAAACCAAACAAAAAAAAUGCAGUUGAAUCUUGUUUCUUAGUCGUUUUAAGUUAUUUUUAGGUUCAGAGACGUACCUGACCGUCGUCCAAUCAGCUGCCACGAUGCCAAGCGCGCGCCGGACGACAAAACAUCCACUCGGUUAACAGCUCGCGCACGUGAGGUCGUCACCGCCAAGGGUGGGUGGGUCACUCCCGCACCACAAUGUGGACACAUCUGGAACAUUCCAGCUCACCAAACCCUGACCAACACUUCCUGUUUUGCUCACCGCCAAGCUCAUUCGAGAGCAUGCAAGCGUUGGAGCAUUUCUUCCUGAUCCAGAGAGUCCACGUACUGUUUUGGCCUCGCCACUAAAUUCUUGACUU
This is a long non-coding RNA of Hippocampus zosterae (dwarf seahorse), 1479 nucleotides long. RefSeq lists it as uncharacterized. The transcript is spliced from 3 exons. The record is from RefSeq and is a predicted model, not a curated record. NCBI's taxonomy places the organism in Eukaryota, Metazoa, Chordata, Actinopteri, Syngnathiformes, Syngnathidae.